AUUGAACGCUGGCGGCAGGCCUAACACAUGCAAGUCGAGCGAGCGGCGGACGGGUGAGUAAUGUCUGGGAAACUGUCUGAUGGAGGGGGAUAACUACUGGAAACGGUAGCUAAUACCGCAUACCAUACGAUGUGCGCAGAUGGGAUUAGCUAGUAGGUGGGGUAAAGGCUCACCUAGGCGACGAUCCCUAGCUGGUCUGAGAGGAUGACCAGCCACACUGGAACUGAGACACGGCCCAGACUCCUGCGGGAGGCAGCAGUGGGGAAUAUUGCACAAUGGGCGCAAGCCUGAUGCAGCCAUGCCGCGUGUAUGAAGAAGGCCUUCGGGUUGUAAAGUACUUUCAGCAGGGAGGCGUUACCCGCAGAAGAAGCACCGGCUAACUCCGUGCCAGCAGCCGCGGUAAUUC
This 406-nucleotide ribosomal RNA is filed under the name uncultured bacterium. RNAcentral describes it as "partial 16S ribosomal RNA". It matches the Rfam family "Bacterial small subunit ribosomal RNA", at positions 30 to 526 of the family's 1533-position model. The record is from RNAcentral.